Molecule: long non-coding RNA, 3079 nt
Organism: Nymphalis io (European peacock)
Lineage: Eukaryota; Metazoa; Arthropoda; Insecta; Lepidoptera; Nymphalidae
Exons: 3
Source: RefSeq, a predicted model, not a curated record
ACAAUUUCGUUCCUGAUCUGCUGGCUGCCAUUCUUUUGCAACCGUUUGCUCUUUUUCUUCUGUGACAUGCAACAACUUAUGCAAUUAGAUCGAAUUUGGGAUAUCAAUUACAGGACUUUACUGAUAAACAGUUGGUUCAGUAUCAUCUUGAAUCCAAUUAUAUUCAGUCUAAUGUCAUCUAAAUUCAGGAAAGCUUUAUUGAAGUUAUGGAGAACGAAAUUUAAAAGGCAAUCGGACAUAAUUAACGUCUGAAGAUUUAAUUAACUUCUAUUACAAUUUAUCUAAUGAGAAAAUAAGUGUAGGUUUUUAUCAAAAUGACGGUACCUAAUACAACGAUAUUGUCAAGAAAAGUAGACGAAUUAAUAAUAUAAGAUAACAAACCGUCCGGUCGCUGGGAGGAUGCAACAAUGCGAGCCGGUUGGCGUGGUUGGUAGAACACUUGCCUUUCACGCCGAAGGUUGUGGGUUCGAUUCCCACUCAGGACAGACAUUUGUGUGCAUGAACAUGUCUGUUUGUCCUAAGUCUGGGUGUAAUUAUCUAUAUAAGUAUGUAUUUACAAAAGAAAAGUAGUAUAUGUAGUAUAUCAGUUGUCUGGUUGCCAUAGCACAAGCUUUGUACAAGCUUAAUUUCGGAUCAGAUGGCCGUGUGUGAUAAAUGUCCUAGGAUAUUAUUAUUAUAAUGCAGUAUGCUGGAGGUUUGAAGGCUUGUUAGGCUAUUCUAUAAGAAUAAAAAUUCGAAAGUAAGACUGCAGAAAAUGCCACGAAAUAUCAGAAAGUGAUAUGCACCAUAUGAUUGUGACAGUGCAUAAAUAUUAUUUUUAGUAUAAUUAAAAGGUUUUUUUCUUUUUUUAUUGAAAAUUAAAUUAAGCGCAAAAUUAUAAUGUUUAAUGUAAGUAGUCACAUUGAUGUAGAUUUUAAUGAUAUUAUUCGUUAGCAGGACAAAUAAACGAUACUAAUAUUUAUCGUAAAUUCUUGUCCACUUAGUUAAAUCAAUAUGUAUGUAAUACGUUAUGUAUGUAUGAUCGAAUGAACGUUUCCUUGUUGUGUUAGUUUUAUUUUAUAAACUUAAAGCUUAGUAUACUUAUAUGUAUUAGCAAAAAUAUUGUUUUAAAAGAGUACAGAAAUUUGAACAAGAACUGGCCAAAAUUUAAUGGUGGUAAAAUAAUUUUAUGGCUUUAUGCAAGCUCAUCUGGGUAGGUACCACCCACUCAUCAGAUAUUCUACCGCAAGCAGUACAGCAGUAUUUGGUAUUAUAGUAUUUCGGUUUGAAGGGUGAGUGAGCUAGUGCAAUAAAAGGAUAAUAAGGAAGAUAAAGAAGGAUAAUAAAGAAAAAGGACAUAACAUCUUAGUUCCCAAGGUUGGUGGCGCAUUGGCGAUGUAAGCGAUGGUUAACAUUUCUUACAACGCCAAUGUCUAUGGGCGUUGGUGACCACUUACCAUCAGGUGGCCCAUAAGCUCGUUCACCUAUCUAUUCUAUAAAAAAUAAAUGGCGGUUGUUCGGUAAGGGAUAACUAAGUAUUUCAAAAAAGGCUUAAGUUCAAUCUAAUCCAGCUGUAUAGGUGGAAGGUAAUCCAGCUGUAUAGGUGGAAAGUCUUCCAGCUAUAAAGAUAGAAAGUCUUUUAGAAUUGAUCGGAUUUGGUCUUUUAAUUUCUACCACUUGUGGAUUUAACAAGUGACUUGAUGUUACGCUGAUUACGUUGAGCGUUAUAUAUAGAUGUGAUAAGAUCAUAAUGAAAGUUCACAAAAUGAAUUCGCCAAUUCCCGUCGACCGUUGCUAUCCAUUUUCAUUUUCGCUUACAAAUUGAUUUUAUCAUAUAUAAUACAUCUAAAGCUAUCUAAUUGCUAUAGUAAAUAAUGUUUUUAAUCGGAAUUAAGCUUAAUCAAUUAGAUGCCACUCGACAAACACGUCCCCGUUUCAUUUAAUUUAAUUAUACUUUAGAUCAUUAUACAGAUACAUUGAUUGUUUAGAUAAAACGGAAAAUUGCCCCAUUUUAUAAAAACUUUUAGUUAAAUUGAUAUUGACAUAAGAUCGAUUUGACAGAUUUUUCAAAUUCGAAAUGGAAGUAAUUGCCUCUUUCGUAUAAAGCUUUUAAUUACUGGUGGUCACUAUUUUUACUUAAAGUAGAAAGAAACAAUUCUUUUUGAUUGUCCAUGUGAUUGGUUUCCAUAUGUAAGGCUGAUUUUCGGUGUCCUACUUAUUUGCUCAGUUUAAUACGAUGAGUAUACUACAAAUAAUUAAAAUCACUUCAACAAGGCUAUCAAUGCAUUACUGUCUUUCAACUUUGUAAGCAUUGCUUUCAAAGUCCAGAUUGUUUAUUUAUUCGAUGGAAUUCCAUUUUUAUAAUAGUGACUAUACAGCAUUAGAAAUUUUUGUAUUUAUAUGUCAAUGCGUUGUUAUUGAAGUCUAUUUAUUAGAGAAAGUGUGCAGACGGUUAAAAGAUAUUAGUUUCUGAAAAUAGUCAUUUAUGAAAACAACGAGUACAAACUUUUGUAUUGUAUAACCCAAUAACAAACAGAGAUUGUCGAGUGGUACGAACAUGUGAAUUUUUACCGAAGAAGUGGUGCGGUUAAAUCAGGGGUGCGGUGGGGGCUUUGGGAGCACCACUUAAUUUUGCUGCAUGUUCUUAAUUUGUGUUUAUAAUUCAUCUCGUGUUCGGUGGCUUAACAACAUAUUUAAUUGUAACAAAUUAGUCUAUUUAUAUUAAAGAUAUUACAGCUUUUACACUGAAUUAUAACUUUAUAAUGAGAAUUAUAAAGUUUUCCUAUUUUUAAGGGUCGAAACUUUUUUAGUCUUUAUAAAACGAUUUAUUCAUUUUUUUAUGAGACCUAACAUACAGACAUUUUUAUAAAAUACAAAAUUAAAAUAAAAAGAAAUACACAAAAAAUACACAUUACAAAUUUAAAGCAGAAACACGCCGUCUAAAAGAUUGUCCUGUGGCAUUGUACCCAAGACGCUGGCACUGUUGCCUCUCUGCACCGCUAGACUCAGCCUUUGAUCCUAUUUUUAAUUUAUGUUAAAGGUUAGUUAAUAUUUAUGUUAAAGGUUACUCAGGCAUUUCUCCUUUCAAAAAAAAACAAAG